CUUCUUGAUUUAUAUUGGAAGUCGUGCCUGCCCACUGAAUUUAUUUGAAGGGCCGCGGUAUUUUGACCGUGCAAAGGUAGCAUAAUCAUUAGUCUUUUAAUUGGGGGCUGGAAUGAAUGGUUUGACGGAAUAAUAGCUGUCUCUUAUUUAUUUAUUGAAUUUUACUUUUAAGUGAAAAGGCUUAAAUGUUGAUGGGGGACGAGAAGACCCUAUAGAUCUUUAUAUUUUUAUUGAGUAUUCAAUUUUAGUAGUUUAAUUGAUUAUUUAACAAUAAUAUUUCGUUGGGGUGACGUGAGAAUAUUAUAACUUCUUGUAAAUUUACUCUGAUAGGUGAUUAUAAGAUCCUGUAUUAUGGAAUUAAGAUUAAGAUACCUUAGGGAUAACAGCGUAAUUUUAUUAGAGAGUUCUAAUCGACAAUAAAGAUUGCGACCUCGAUGUUGGAUUAAGAUUAUAAAUUGGUGCAGUAGCUAAUUGAGUUGGUCUGUUC
This 487-nucleotide ribosomal RNA is filed under the name Landrevini sp. PNG. Its description in RNAcentral is "partial 16S ribosomal RNA". It matches the Rfam family "Bacterial large subunit ribosomal RNA", at positions 1832 to 2582 of the family's 2925-position model. The record is from RNAcentral. Lineage: Eukaryota; Metazoa; Arthropoda; Insecta; Orthoptera; Gryllidae.